This 501-nucleotide long non-coding RNA is filed under the name Homo sapiens (human). RNAcentral describes it as "HSALNT0127093". The record is from RNAcentral. Lineage: Eukaryota; Metazoa; Chordata; Mammalia; Primates; Hominidae.
UCAGUGUAUAUACCAAAGUGUAAGGUCACUUUGAAACCCUCUCCUCUCACUAGGGCUACUAGAGUAGAUUCCUGUCACACUGCCUCUAGUCUUGUACCAUUCCAAACUAUCCUCCAAGGAGACCAAAGUGACCUAUUGAACAUGUAAAUUUUUCUCUCAUUGUUCUCAAAGUGUGAUCCCCAGACCAGCAGCAUCAGUAUUAUCUGGAAACUUGUUAGAAAUGGAGAUUUACAGGUGUACUAAAUCAGAAAUUCCACAUAUGUGGUCCAGCAAUCUGUGUUUUAAAAGCUCUCCAGGUAAUUCUGAGCUUGUUAAAGGUUGAGAACUACUGGCUUAAAGACUAAAAUUUCAGCACCUAAAGAUAAUACACAGUUUUUCAUAAUCUGACCUCUGAAUACAUCUUCUGCAGCCUUAUCUUCCUUCAGUUUCUCCCCACACCCCACUGACUUUAUCCUUCAAAAUUCCUAAGUUAUUUUAAGUCCUUGAACAUACACUGUCUUC